This 253-nucleotide ribosomal RNA is filed under the name uncultured bacterium. Its description in RNAcentral is "partial 16S ribosomal RNA". It matches the Rfam family "Bacterial small subunit ribosomal RNA", at positions 524 to 776 of the family's 1533-position model. The record is from RNAcentral.
UACGUAGGCAGCGAGCGUUGUUCGGAAUUACUGGGCGUAAAGAGUGUGUAGGCGGCGCUCUAAGUUCGGUGUGAAAUCUCUCGGCUUAACUGGGAGGGUGCGCCGGAAACUGGAGUGCUCGAACGUGGGAGAGGAAAGCGGAAUUCCUGGUGUAGCGGUGAAAUGCGUAGAUAUCGGAAGGAACACCAGUGGCGAAAGCGGCUUCCUGGUCUGACACCGACGUUCAGGCACGAAAGCGUGGGGAGCAAACAGG